CCUACGGGAGGCAGCAGUGGGGAAUCUUGCACAAUGUGCGAAAGCCUGAUGCAGCGACGCCGCGUGCGGGACGAAGGCCUUCGGGUCGUAAACCGCUUUCAGCAGGGACGAGGCCGCAAGGUGACGGUACCUGCAGAAGAAGCCCCGGCUAACUACGUGCCAGCAGCCGCGGUAAUACGUAGGGGGCGAGCGUUAUCCGGAUUCAUUGGGCGUAAAGCGCGCGUAGGCGGCCUGCUAGGUCGGGAGUCAAAUCCGGGGGCUCAACCCCCGUCCGCUCCCGAUACCGGCUGGCUUGAGUCUGGUAGGGGAAGGUGGAAUUCCCAGUGUAGCGGUGGAAUGCGCAGAUAUUGGGAAGAACACCGGUGGCGAAGGCGGCCUUCUGGGCCACGACUGACGCUGAGGCGCGAAAGCUAGGGGAGCGAACAGGAUUAGAUACCCGGGUAGUC
Molecule: ribosomal RNA, 446 nt
Filed under: uncultured Coriobacteriaceae bacterium
Lineage: Bacteria; Bacillati; Actinomycetota; Coriobacteriia; Coriobacteriales; Coriobacteriaceae
Description: bacterial SSU rRNA
Rfam family: Bacterial small subunit ribosomal RNA
Source: RNAcentral